CUGGGGCUCUUUUUAUUUUUAAAGACCUUUUUCGAAGGUCCGCUUAAGAGGGGCUUGCGACAAGAGAAGCUUAGGGUAAAAGCCUACCAAGACUAUGAUGAGAGAGGGGGCUGGAGAAGGUCGAACAGCCACAUUGGGACUGAGACACGGCCCAAACUCCUACGGGAGGCAGCAUUCCCUGAAUAAAAAAGAAAUGGAGGAAACUCUGACCGAGCAACGCCGCGUGAACGAUGAAGUAUUUCGGUAUGUAAAGUUCUUUUAUUGAAGAAGAAAAAAUAGUGGAAAAACUAUAUUGACGCUAUUCAAUGAAUAAGCCCCGGCAAACUAUGUGCCAGCAGCCGCGGUAAUACAUAGGGGGCAAGCGUUAUCCGGAAUUAUUGGGCGUAAAGGGUGCGUAGGCGGUUUAAUAUUUUUUUUUUUUUUAAUUUUCAGUGCUUAACCCUGUCCUGCUAUGGAAACCCCCCCCACUCCCCCCGAGAUAGAGGUAAGCGGAAUUCCAUGUGUAGCGGUAAAAUGCGUAAAUAUAUGGGAGGAACCCCACAGGCGUACGCGGCUUACUUGGGUCUUUUAUGACCCUGAGGCCGUAAAACGGGGGAAGCAAAC
This 603-nucleotide ribosomal RNA is filed under the name Napier grass stunt phytoplasma. RNAcentral describes it as "partial 16S ribosomal RNA". It matches the Rfam family "Bacterial small subunit ribosomal RNA", at positions 183 to 773 of the family's 1533-position model. Lineage: Bacteria; Bacillati; Mycoplasmatota; Mollicutes; Acholeplasmatales; Acholeplasmataceae. The record is from RNAcentral.